ACUCAACACUAACAAAUUAGAAUGAGCAAAUCAUCGUGACUAUAGCAAGCCUUUAAGUAGGAAGCUUGAAAAACGAGUUAGCUCAAAACUUGUCUAUACGAGUUU
RNAcentral lists this small RNA (105 nucleotides) under Flavobacterium terrae. Its description in RNAcentral is "6S-Flavo RNA". The record is from RNAcentral. Lineage: Bacteria; Pseudomonadati; Bacteroidota; Flavobacteriia; Flavobacteriales; Flavobacteriaceae.